CCUACGGGAGGCAGCAGUCGAGAAUCAUUCACAAUGGGGGAAACCCUGGUGGUGCGACGCCGCGUGGGGGAAUGAAGGUCUUCGGAUUGUAAACCCCUGUCAUGUGGGAGCAAAUUAAAAAGAUAGUACCACAAGAGGAAGAGACGGCUAACUCUGUGCCAGCAGCCGCGGUAAUACAGAGGUCUCAAGCGUUGUUCGGAAUCACUGGGCGUAAAGCGUGCGUAGGCUGUUUCGUAAGUCGUGUGUGAAAGGCGCGGGCUCAACCCGCGGACGGCACAUGAUACUGCGAGACUAGAGUAAUGGAGGGGGAACCGGAAUUCUCGGUGUAGCAGUGAAAUGCGUAGAUAUCGAGAGGAACACUCGUGGCGAAGGCGGGUUCCUGGACAUUAACUGACGCUGAGGCACGAAGGCCAGGGGAGCGAAAGGGAUUAGAUACCCUUGUAGUC
This 446-nucleotide ribosomal RNA is filed under the name uncultured bacterium. Its description in RNAcentral is "partial 16S ribosomal RNA". It matches the Rfam family "Bacterial small subunit ribosomal RNA", at positions 338 to 795 of the family's 1533-position model. The record is from RNAcentral.